Molecule: ribosomal RNA, 482 nt
Filed under: uncultured bacterium
Lineage: Bacteria
Description: bacterial SSU rRNA
Rfam family: Bacterial small subunit ribosomal RNA
Source: RNAcentral
AGGGUUUGAUUCUGGCUCAGAACGAACGCUGGCGGCAUGCCUAACACAUGCAAGUCGAACGAGAAGCUAUCUUCGGGUAGUGGAAAGUGGCGCACGGGUGAGUAACGCGUGGGAACCUGCCCUAAGGUUCGGAAUAACGACUGGAAACGGUCGCUAAUACCGGAUGUGCCCUGAGGGGGAAAGAUUUAUCGCCUUGGGAGGGGCCCGCGUCCGAUUAGCUUGUUGGUGUGGUAACGGCGCACCAAGGCUUCGAUCGGUAGCUGGUCUGAGAGGAUGAUCAGCCACACUGGGACUGAGACACGGCCCAGACUCCUACGGGAGGCAGCAGUGGGGAAUAUUGGACAAUGGGGGCAACCCUGAUCCAGCAAUGCCGCGUGUGUGAAGAAGGCCUUAGGGUUGUAAAGCACUUUCAGUCGUGACGAUGAUGACGGUAACGACAGAAGAAGCCCCGGCUAACUCCGUGCCAGCAGCCGCGGUAAUAC